Oppia nitens is the source of this 148-nucleotide long non-coding RNA. RefSeq lists it as uncharacterized. The transcript is spliced from 3 exons. NCBI's taxonomy places the organism in Eukaryota, Metazoa, Arthropoda, Arachnida, Sarcoptiformes, Oppiidae. The record is from RefSeq and is a predicted model, not a curated record.
CUGCGCUUCAUUAAUCGCUUUUAACGGCGAAAGCAAACGGAUUCGUGAAUCUGUUUGGAAACAGGAAUUUCAACCGCUUUUGAAAUGGAUUAAAUCAGAUAAAGGAAGAAAGUUUUUGUCUUCAUUUACGGAGGAAUCGAUUGAUGAC